RNAcentral lists this ribosomal RNA (496 nucleotides) under uncultured bacterium. RNAcentral describes it as "partial 16S ribosomal RNA". It matches the Rfam family "Bacterial small subunit ribosomal RNA", at positions 29 to 507 of the family's 1533-position model. The record is from RNAcentral.
AUGAACGCUGGCGGCGUGCCUAAUACAUGCAAGUCGAGCGAACAGACGAGGAGCUUGCUCCUCUGACGUUAGCGGCGGACGGGUGAGUAACACGUGGAUAACCUACCUAUAAGACUGGGAUAACUUCGGGAAACCGGGGCUAAUACCGGAUAAUAUAUUGAACCGCAUGGUUCAAUAGUGAAAGACGGUUUUGCUGUCACUUAUAGAUGGAUCCGCGCCGCAUUAGCUAGUUGGUAAGGUAACGGCUUACCAAGGCAACGAUGCGUAGCCGACCUGAGAGGGUGAUCGGCCACACUGGAACUGAGACACGGUCCAGACUCCUACGGGAGGCAGCAGUAGGGAAUCUUCCGCAAUGGGCGAAAGCCUGACGGAGCAACGCCGCGUGAUUGAUGAAGGUCUUCGGAUCGUAAAACUCUGUUAUUAGGGAAGAACAAAUGUGUAAGUAACUAUGCACGUCUUGACGGUACCUAAUCAGAAAGCCACGGCUAACUACGUG